Molecule: ribosomal RNA, 253 nt
Filed under: uncultured bacterium
Lineage: Bacteria
Description: partial 16S ribosomal RNA
Rfam family: Bacterial small subunit ribosomal RNA
Source: RNAcentral
UACGUAGGGUGCAAGCGUUAUCCGGAAUUAUUGGGCGUAAAGGGCGCGUAGGCGGCCUGUUAAGUCGAACGUGAAAUCCCUGGGCUCAACCCAGGAACUGCGUCCGAUACUGGCAGGCUUGAAUCCGGGAGAGGGAUGCGGAAUUCCAGGUGUAGCGGUGAAAUGCGUAGAUAUCUGGAGGAACACCGGUGGCGAAGGCGGCAUCCUGGACCGGCAUUGACGCUGAGGCGCGAAAGCCAGGGGAGCAAACGGG